CAGCAGCCGCGGUAAUACGGAGGAUCCAAGCGUUAUCCGGAAUCAUUGGGUUUAAAGGGUCCGUAGGCGGUCUUGUAAGUCAGUGGUGAAAGCCCAUCGCUCAACGGUGGAACGGCCAUUGAUACUGCAGGACUUGAAUUAUUGGGAAGUAACUAGAAUAUGUAGUGUAGCGGUGAAAUGCUUAGAGAUUACAUGGAAUACCAAUUGCGAAGGCAGGUUACUACCAAUUGAUUGACGCUGAUGGACGAAAGCGUGGGUAGCGAACAGGAUUAGAUACCCGCGUAGUUCCUGUCUCUUAUAC
RNAcentral lists this ribosomal RNA (301 nucleotides) under uncultured bacterium. RNAcentral describes it as "partial 16S ribosomal RNA". It matches the Rfam family "Bacterial small subunit ribosomal RNA", at positions 509 to 807 of the family's 1533-position model. The record is from RNAcentral.